UCAAGAAUUCGUCGGUGAACGGGGGUGUUGGUGGGUAAGCCGAACUGAUCGCGAUGUCUCAAUCCAGUAAGAAGCAACAACGAAGCCAGCGGAAACGCAAAAAAAAAAAAUAUUUGAAGGCACAUUCUAUAUUUUGAAGAUAUUCCGCGUAUAAAAUCGCUUCGUGUGGUCGAAUGGGCUCAUUUCCUGUGACUUAUAGACGGCGUGUUCGUCGAUCACCGCAGCGUGGCGUCUUCCAUCGUUGACCGUCGCUUCUGCGCCGUUUGAUGAGCUUUGCAGAGUCCUCGGUGUCCAAUUUGUGACUAUUUGAGCUUCGACGUUUUACGUCCAAAGGAAUAGUCUCCCGUUGCUUGACGAUGAGUACGUCCACCACUUCUUCCAUUACUGCUGCUACUAAUUCUGCGAUGCGUUCUGUUGUUUGGAUAAAGUGGCGGCCAAACUCACCUUAGUGACGUCGUCGUUGACGGUGGCGCCAUGCCGUCGGACAGGAUUUGGACAUCAUGGGCAAUUGAUUCGGAGGACUUCUUCGGCGGCGCCAUUGCCGAGCCUACGUCGUCUGUGUGAAGCCGCUGGCGCGCUCGGCGCACCUCAUCAAGCGCCGCCUGUAUUCUACGUACUCGAGGCAAGCAAACGGCUUUCACCUGAUGCCCGUCCCUUGCCGCAGCUUACCGAGGUUCCGCUACCAGUUGGCUGUUGUCUGUUUGACUGCUAAACUUAGCACACGUUUUUCAGUAUUCUCCUUCGUACGUGGGAGAUACAGGAAAGAAAUUACCAAGGCGCUUUUCACGGCACGACAAUGAGUUACUGAGAAUGGUAAGCACACAAACCUGGUGAAGCUUAGAUGAAAUACUUUGGUAAAAGCCUGAAGGCCUAUUGUUAGAAGAAGGAACCAUCGAUUCAUUAUCGAUGACCUGAUUUAUCGUGACGUUGGUGCUGGUGAGCAAAUGUAGGGUCGCUAGGUAUCGUUACGGUUGGUUAGCUUUGUCGAAACUGUGAAUAUCUACAUCUACUUUUACUCCUCAGCUGGAAAAGUGAUGCUAAAAGCUGUUCCUUAACUAACGUCAGUGACCGGUUCUCAAUUAGAAAAGCCAACCUGACAGAGCAAUACAACAAACUUCGUGAGACCCGUCACAAGAGAACAGACCCUAAAUUACGCGGAACAAUUGAAUUCCCUUCUAGUCAUACAAAAAGGUGCAAGAUGCUCUGCACAUCAUGCAAGCCCAUUUCGAUUUUGCUGCCAUUAUUCUUGAGUUGAGAAUAAGGAAAUUGU
Long non-coding RNA from Varroa destructor (honeybee mite), 1270 nucleotides. RefSeq lists it as uncharacterized. Lineage: Eukaryota; Metazoa; Arthropoda; Arachnida; Mesostigmata; Varroidae. The record is from RefSeq and is a predicted model, not a curated record.